This 972-nucleotide ribosomal RNA is filed under the name uncultured marine eukaryote. RNAcentral describes it as "SSU rRNA". It matches the Rfam family "Eukaryotic small subunit ribosomal RNA", at positions 483 to 1595 of the family's 1831-position model. The record is from RNAcentral.
AAGCGGGACUUCUGUUUCGCUAUUAUAAUGAGGAAUAACCAAAGGUCAUUCCGAUUAGCAACUGAUGGGAAAGUCUAGUGCCAGCAGCCGCGGUAAUACCAGCGUCAGUAGCAUAUAUUAAAAUUGUUGCAGUUAAAACGUCCAUAGUCUGUACGUCGUCACAAACUCACUGCAGUCUUCCGUUUUCUUCAUUGAAUGCGGUAGUUUCUGCAGUCACUCCCUUGAUCAAAUUAGGUUGUUCAGGGUAGACCAAGUCUUCAUAUUUUCACAUGGAAUUGGGUGAGGGAACUUAAGAGUUUAAGUUUCUCGUCUUAGGAUCAUCCGGGGUCAUUCGUACUCGUCCGCGAGAGGUGAAAUUCUUGGACCGGACGAAGACGACCAGCAGCGAAAGCAUCUGUCAGGGAUGUUUUCUGCGACAAAGGACGAAGGUCAGGGUAUCGAAGACGAUUAGAUACCGUCGUAGUCCUGACUGUAAACUAUGCCAACUUGGGUCUUGCUGGGCGAUGCUUUGUGAGACCCACACAGAAAUGAAAGUGUAUGGGUUCUGGGGGUAGUAUGGACACAAGUCUGAAACUUGAAGGAAUUGACGGAAGAGCACCAUAAGACGUGGAGCUUGCGGCUUAAUUUGACUCAACGCGGGAAAACUUACCAGGUCAAGACAUGGGCGUGAUUGACAGGCCAAUGACUUUUCUCGAUUCCAUGGAUGGUGGUGCAUGGUCGCACUUAGUUGGUGCAGUGAUUUGUCAGGUUUAUUCCGGUAACGAACGAGACCUCGGCCUUGUAAAUAGCUACGCUGCUUACAGGGACAUUGGCGGCUACGCCAAGGAAGCUCGAGGCAAUUGCAGAUCUGGAAUGCCCUUAGAUGUCCUGGGUCGCACGCGUGCUACAAUGACGCCACGAACGAGUUUGCGUGAUGAAAGUCACGCAUAAUCAGCAGUCGGCGUCUUAAGGGAUAGUCUCUUGUAACUGUGG